GGAGGGCAAAUUUGGGGCCCGCAGCCGCGGUAAUUCCAGCUUCCAUAGCGUAUAUUAAAGUUGUUGCAGUUAAAAAGCUCGUAGUUGAAUUUCGGGGUUACCACGUUGGUCGUGCCACUGGUAUGUACUGGCUUUGCUGAUUCCUCCUUCUUGGGAAACCAUAAUGUCAUUAAUUUGGUGUGGCGGGGAAACAGGACUGUUACUUUAAAAAA
This 212-nucleotide ribosomal RNA is filed under the name fungal sp. Its description in RNAcentral is "partial small subunit ribosomal RNA". It matches the Rfam family "Eukaryotic small subunit ribosomal RNA", at positions 550 to 764 of the family's 1831-position model. Lineage: Eukaryota; Fungi. The record is from RNAcentral.